ACUAGUUCAUCACAGGCACAGAUGGACGAACGCCUCCUGAAAGCAGCGACUGAUGGUGAUUCCACGUCCAUGAAGCACUAUGCUUGUCGUAAUCCAGGCAUCCUUCUCGGAAAGACUUUGCGGAUGAACACUUGCCUUCACAUAUCCUUCAUCCAUGGUCACCAGAGAUUCUCCGCGGAUGUGGUGGCACUGGAGGAGUCUCUCCUCACCGCUGUAAACUUAGAUUGGGAGACGCCACUUCUUGCGGCGGUGAGAAAUGGUCACGUCUCUUUGGCUUCUUUUUUACUCGGAAGCUGCCAUCAGCUAGGAAUGGGGCAAGCAAUCUUAAAGCAAGACAAAUAUGGAUUUAACGCACUACACCAUGCCAUUCGCAAUGGCCAUGAGGAGCUUGCGCUGGAGUUGAUUACAGCAGAGCCUUCUCUGUCGCGAGCUGUGAGCGAAUGCAACGAGUCACCCAUGUUCUUCGCCUUGACAAGGAAUUUUACGCGUGUGUAUGAGCAGCUAGUUCAAGAUCCUCUUUCUUCUUAUACGGGAGGACUACACGAUCGCAAUUGCCUACAUGCCGCAGUCAGAAAUGGGAAUCCAGAAAUGGCAAAGCAUAUUCUGAGAAACUAUCCUGGACUAAUGAUCACUGAAGACAUCAAUAAAGUUACUCCAACAAGACAUGCUGUACUUUUUGACAAGAUUGACAUGUUACGAGUAAUACUGUUACAUGAUCCAACCAAAGGAUACGAAAUAAACAGUAUGGGUGAUCCUCUCCUUGCUGCUGCCGCAUAUCGAGGUCGAAUUAAUGCUGCUCGAGAGCUUCUGAAACACUGUCCUGAUGCUCCUUAUCGCCAAGAAAAUGGUGGGACAUUGCUUCAUAGAGCUGUAUGGGAUAACCAAAUAAAGUUCGUUAAAUUUGUCCUGACGACACCGCUACUUCGCAAACUCAUCAACAUGCAAGACAAGACUGGAAAAACCGCUCUACAUUAUGCAGUCCGGAAGUGUGAUCCGGAACUAGUUAGUAUUUUACUAUCUCACGAGGAUAUAGAUGCGACAGUGCUUGACAACAUCGGUGUUUCAGCGGCUUGGGAACUGAAGUACAUCAUGGAGAAUGCCAAGACUUUAAACUGGAAUGAAGUCUUGAUGCUUAUGCUAAAAGCAGAUGCCCAAAAUGCCACAUCUCUCUAUAAUCUUCACGGGAAAGCCAAGCAACAAGCAAUCGAUGCUGGAAGGAAGGAUGCAAAGUCACUAACUAAGACAUACACAACAAACAUUUCACUAGUGGCCAUUCUCAUAACAACAAUCACCUUUGCUGCUGCUUUCACCCUGCCUGGAGGAUACAGCAGUGUUGAUGGAAGCGAGGGACUUCCGAUCAUGUCUCAGAAGGUUGCAUUUCAAGCAUUCUUGAUCUCUGACACCUUAGCAAUGUGCUCCUCAUUUGCCGUUGCUUUCAUAUGUGUCAUAGCAAGGUGGGAGGAUUAUGAGUUCUUGAUUUAUUACACGUCUUUCACUAAGAAGCUCAUGUGGUUUGCAUACGUGGCAACUACAACGGCUUUUUCAACUGGUUUAUACACGGUGUUAGCGUCUCGGCUCCAUUGGUUGGCCACUGCAAUUUCCGUUCUGGUAGCUUUAUUGCCCAUUCUAACCAAGCUUCUUGGCGAAUGGCCUAUUUUGAAGCUCAGAUUCCGGUUGGGAAAAACUUUCAACUCCGAUCUCUUGGACAUGGUGUGA
Molecule: ribosomal RNA, 1716 nt
Filed under: Triticum aestivum (bread wheat)
Lineage: Eukaryota; Viridiplantae; Streptophyta; Magnoliopsida; Poales; Poaceae
Description: partial small subunit ribosomal RNA
Source: RNAcentral